AUGGGUAUGCAGGCUCUGAUGGAUGUCCGGUGCACGAACCUUGUCAACCCUAUAUGCGACUGGCUUGGUGAGAUCUACGAGCCUGCCUCCAGAGAAUUCGUGAUUCCGGGACGCGGAAGACUUCCGUUGAACGAGGAAUCCGUGUUCUGCACUUUGGGUGUGCCUCGUGGACAUAUCAAAGUCCCAUACGAGGUCAAUAAUGAGAUCGAGGAAGCGCUGUUUGCCCGUUUGUUUCCUGGAUUGGAGUCCAUGCCGAACACGUCUGUACUGGCAGAUUCGCUGCAGGCCAUGACGACGCACGGAGAUGUUUUCAAGAUGAAGCUACUCAUGUACCUCAUCUCAGCUGUUUUCGCGCCGACCACUUCCCUUCGCCCAAGCAACAAAUGUUUCCCCAUCCUGGCGAAUCUGAAAAAUGUGAAGAACAUGAAGUGGUGUAAGUUUAUUGCCGACUUUCUCCACGAUGCUUUCAAAAACAAGAUGUACCAGAAGGGUUGUCGACUGCAUUUAAUGCUCAUGUAUGUCGACUGUCUUGAUCUGUCCACCGUGGAUUUCUCUGGGGUAGGAGGUCCGCCGCCUACGCACAAGUUUGUUGUUUCUGCGUGGACCAUCAACGCUGUCAAGGCUGUGCUUGCCGCAGACAGGGCAACUGAUACCACAUAUGGAAAACUACAGCUGAUGGCCAAGCAUGCUAUAGACUACAGCGUGUUUGGGGGGCCUAAAAAAUUUGGAAAGUGGAUGGACGUGCACUCAGCUCCGUCUUGCCCUUCUGAGGCGAGGGCACCAGUUGAGCAUCUAAUUGGGCAGUUUGCAUCCGGAAUGACCGACUUGCUCGGGAAGUUGGUUGAGGGGUGGACGUCCCUCAGUGCCUCUGGCAGCGACGCGGUUGCGAGGCAGUUCACUUCAUUUGUCCCAGAACAUACACAUCGAUCAACCGGUUGUCGUGGCCGGUAUGACUACAACAGUUCCCAAGAGCCCGAUGACACACAAGAUGAUGUAGAUGGAGACGCUGGCCUCAGCAAGGAUGACGACGAUGACAUGGAUAAUGUGCAUCAGGACACGGAUGACGAUGAACAUGCUGAAGUUCGCACAGGCGGCAACAAGGGCAAGGAUGCAACAGAUGCCCCCCCACCAGAGAAAGUG
RNAcentral lists this ribosomal RNA (1140 nucleotides) under Triticum aestivum (bread wheat). Its description in RNAcentral is "partial small subunit ribosomal RNA". The record is from RNAcentral. Lineage: Eukaryota; Viridiplantae; Streptophyta; Magnoliopsida; Poales; Poaceae.